Molecule: ribosomal RNA, 221 nt
Filed under: uncultured bacterium
Lineage: Bacteria
Description: partial 16S ribosomal RNA
Rfam family: Bacterial small subunit ribosomal RNA
Source: RNAcentral
UAAACGUCUCAGUUCGGAUUGUAGUCUGCAACUCGACUACAUGAAGCUGGAAUCGCUAGUAAUCGCAGAUCAGAAUGCUGCGGUGAAUACGUUCCCGGGUCUUGUACACGCCGCCCGUCACACCAUGGGAGUCGGAAAUGCCCGAAGCCGGUGACCCAACCAAAAGGAGGGAGCCGUCGAAGGCAGGUCUGAUAACUGGGGUGAAGUCGUAACAAGGUACC